CGUGUAGGAGGCUGGCUAAGUCUGGUGUGAAAGCCCGGGGCUCACCCCCGGAAGUGCGCUGGAAACUAGUCAGCUAGAGUAUGGGAGAGGGAAGUGGAAUUCCUGGUGUAGCGGUGAAAUGCGUAGAUAUCAGGAGGAACACCGGCGGCGAAGGCGGCUUCCUGGACCAAUACUGACGCUGAGACGCGAAAGCGUGGGGAGCAAACAGGAUUAGAUACCCUGGUAGUCC
Molecule: ribosomal RNA, 229 nt
Filed under: uncultured bacterium
Lineage: Bacteria
Description: partial 16S ribosomal RNA
Rfam family: Bacterial small subunit ribosomal RNA
Source: RNAcentral